CCUUCGGGUGCAGAGUGACAGGUGGUGCAUGGCUGUCGUCAGCUCGUGUCGUGAGAUGCUGGGUUAAGUCCCGCAACGAGCGCAACCCUUGAUCUUAGUUGCCAUCAUUAAGUUGGGCACUCUAAGGUGACUGCCGGUGACAAACCGGAGGAAGGUGGGGAUGACCUCAAAUCAUCAUGCCCCUUAUGACCUGGGCUACACACGUGCUACAAUGGACGGUACAAAGAGCUGCAAGACCGCGAGGUGGAGCUAAUCUCAUAAAACCGUUCUCAGUUCGGAUUGUAGGCUGCAACUCGCCUACAUGAAGCUGGAAUCGCUAGUAAUCGCGGAUCAGCAUGCCGCGGUGAAUACGUUCCCGGGCCUUGUACACACCGACAUCCUUUUCUAUUUUAUCUCCCUCUUUCUCCUCCCUCCUUUUUACCCUCUAUAC
Molecule: ribosomal RNA, 430 nt
Filed under: uncultured Bacillus sp.
Lineage: Bacteria; Bacillati; Bacillota; Bacilli; Caryophanales; Bacillaceae
Description: bacterial SSU rRNA
Rfam family: Bacterial small subunit ribosomal RNA
Source: RNAcentral